Oryza meridionalis is the source of this 198-nucleotide non-coding RNA. Lineage: Eukaryota; Viridiplantae; Streptophyta; Magnoliopsida; Poales; Poaceae. The record is from Rfam.
CCUAAGUGUGAAGUGGUGGGCUUCUGUAUUCAACGUUUGACCGUCUGUCUUAUUUACUUUUUUUAGAUUAAUAUUUUUAUUGUUAUUAAAUGAUAAAACAUGAAUAAUAGUUUAUGCAUGUUUUUCUUUUUUUCGUAAAUUUUUUAAAUAAGACGGACGGUCAAACGUUGUACACGGAAACUAGUGUUUGUCUUUUUU